CCUACGGUUGGCAGCAGUGAGGAAUAUUGGUCAAUGGGCUUACGCCUGAACCAGCCAAGUCGCGUGAGGGAAGACUGCCCUAUGGGUUGUAAACCUCUUUUGUCAGGGAGUAACGCCGGCUACGUGUAGCCGGACUGAGGGUACAUGAAGAAAAAGCAUGGGCUAACUCCGUGCCAGCAGCGGCGGUAAGAGGGAGGAUGGGAGCGUUAUCCGGUGUUAUUGGGUUUAAAGGGUGCGUAGGCGGAAUGCCAAGUCAGCGGUAAAGUCGGGGGGCUCAACCUCGAUCCGCCGUUGAAACUGGCGUUCUUGAGUGGGCGAGAGGUGUGCGGAAUGCGUGGUGUAGCGGUGAAAUGCAUAGAUAUCACGCAGAACUCCGAUUGCGAAGGCAGCAUACCGGCGCCCAACUGACGCUGAAGCACGAAAGCGUGGGUAUCGAACAGGAUUAGAUACCCUUGUAGUC
Molecule: ribosomal RNA, 460 nt
Filed under: uncultured bacterium
Lineage: Bacteria
Description: partial 16S ribosomal RNA
Rfam family: Bacterial small subunit ribosomal RNA
Source: RNAcentral